Equus quagga is the source of this 2513-nucleotide long non-coding RNA. RefSeq lists it as uncharacterized. The transcript is spliced from 5 exons. Lineage: Eukaryota; Metazoa; Chordata; Mammalia; Perissodactyla; Equidae. The record is from RefSeq and is a predicted model, not a curated record.
UGCAUUCCUUGGUUUGUAUCCCUGUCCCCCAUCCUCAAAGCCAGCAACGGUGCCUACUUUGAUGACUUGUUACCCUAGUGCCUUUGAUCUCCACUGUAGAAAAUGCUCUGCUCCAUUUCAGAACAGAUUGCCAUGUGCCCCAUUCUCCGGCCUUUGGAGCAAACCAGCGACAGACCUCACAGAUAGAAAUCCACCAUUGGCCAUUCACAAAGAGAGUUCUCCUAGUAAGGGGAGUGAAUGUGAUAAUCCAUAUUUCCUGGAAAAUCUUCCUAGAGGCCUGAGAUGAUAAAUAUUGCCUGUUCCAGAACAGGCUCAUGCACGUCUAGAAAAACACUACAAUUCCAAGACAGUCUUACAGUUAAUGUGUCCAGGUCAACUCUAGCCCAGUUUACCCUCAAGUGCUAUCUAGAAGAUGUCGUUUUACUGGUCCCAGUUUUUCACAUACUUCUCAACCAGUAAGGCCUCACCAGGCAGAGGCUCCCCAUUGACCCUUCACUGCUGGACUCGAUCUUUUCUCAAGCAUGCUUGGUUACAUCUUGGUCUAUGCCAACUAAAUAAGAUGUGUGGGUGUUCAAGGAUGGAAGUAUCCUAUCUUGCAUGGUUAGCUUGGGGAUGGUAUUCAGUCUUCUCCAUGUAAUUCUUAUCUUAGAUAUAGCUGGGAUUUUACACUUCUCAAUACAAUCUCAUCUACAUUAUCUAAUUUGAUUCUUGUACAAACUUGCUGUAAUAUGCUCUUAUUGUAGAUUCAUCAUUUAUCCACCAAACAGAAGUGAGCCAUGCUAAGCUAGAUAUUGAGGACACAGUUUUGAAGAAGUGAUGUUCUCUGCCUUCAAGGAGAUUAUAGGCCAGUGAAGAAUAAAGAUAUGUAAAUGAGCAAUUGUAUUAUAGGGAAAUAACUGCUAUAACAGGGCUCCAUGGGAAAGCAUAAGAGAGAUAACAAUGUUUUGAGACCCAGAAGGCACUGUUGAUGUAAACCACUUGGCCUUUACCAUAUCAGUGCAUGCUGUUCUAUCUUUCAACAACCAGUACCUUUAUCUCUUUACCUAAAAGGGCUUUCUUUGGUCAUCCAGGCUAUUCAUCCCUUGACCAAGGACAGGUAAGCGUUACUGUACAAAUACCCCAGCUCCCUUGCUCCUCAGAUGGGUGACUCUAGGUGCAUGCCCCAUACUGUUUUCUAUACUUUCCCAUUUGGAUCAACCAGUUUCCCACAGUGAUAACACUCAGUUAGCUUCUUGUCCUCCCUAUCUCACUUUGGCACUCUCUGUGUUUCCUGGGAUCACAUUCCAAAUAAACUACUUGAACUCUAAUCCAUAUCUUAAAAUCACCUUCUGGAAGGACCCAAUAAGAGGGGAAAAAAAUCAAUAAAGUAUCUUUUAAAGAUAAAGAAAAGAAUAUAUAUUUCUUUUUAGAAAAUACUCCUUCAUUCUUUAAUCCAUUCAUUCAUUUAAUAAAAUUUGAGUGCUUCCUAUAUACUAGAUGAGAGUUACUGAAUAUCUGGGAUGAAGAAAAUAGACAUAAUUUCUAACUUCAAGGGGGUUGUAGUCUAGUGGCAACAUGCAAAUAAAAAUAAAGAUAUGGGAAGAGUUUUUGAUAUCUUCGAUAAGGAAAACAAAGGAAAGCAGGGUAUUAGGAGUCAUUGUAAAACAAAUGAACCCCUCAUUUUAUAAAUAUGGACACUACAGCUGACAGAGGCUGCCUGACUAGUGUGGGGCAGAGCAGGGACAGGAAUGCAAGACUUUAUAUUCUAAUCCAGUUUUCUUCCUACCACACCAUAUCACAGUAUAGCAUAUCACAGUAUACCAUAUCACAGAGAUACUAUAUCACAGUAUCUCUUAUUCAUUGGAAAGAUAUAAGAGAAGUGAACUAUUCAAGUCUUAUGACUAUUAAUUAUGUCCAGAAAUGUAUGUGAUAAGGUAGUAACCAAUGAUUUUUUAUUUCAAAUGAAGUUUAAGUUAACUAGAGGAAUAAGUGGCGAGGAAAUAAUUUUCUCCACUUCUUAACUGACCCUUAUGGGUCAAAUUCAGCACUCUUAACGUCAGUCUCUUAAAAAAAAAGAAGAAGAAAAAGAAUUCCUAUUUAUGUAGCUUUGGUGGAUUGGGAAAGCACAAGUGGUUCCAAAUGCUCACUACAUUCUAGUUUUUCUCCCUUGAUCUGGACUUGAUAUGUGAUGGGAGGAAUGUUUGGUCAUUUAUCUUGGACCAUGGUUUGGCAGCUGCUUCAUUCCUAGUCUUCAGUAGGUAUUUGCAAGGCAGAAGCCAAAUGGUUGAUUUGGGUCCUAAGCUGUCAUCUGAAUAAGCAAGAGGUAUCUUAAGGUGGUUCAAAUCCAAGUCCAGGCUCUUUAGUGUUAUCCUCCUCAAAAACAGAGCCUGCUCAUACUGCUAGAGCUUCCCUCAUGUUUGUUGCAGUAGUAUCAGGUGAUUCCCAAUAAUUUAUUUACUGCUAAACCAAAUUGAUAGAAGUAAGUUCUGAUUACUGGUCCAACUGAGGCAUUCUGGCAAUUGUCUUUUGGUAUA